GACGAACGCUGGCGGCGUGCCUAAUACAUGCAAGUCGAGCGAAGUUUUUCUGGUGCUUGCACCGGAAAAACUUAGCGGCGAACGGGUGAGUAACACGUAAAGAACCUGCCUCAUAGACUGGGACAACUAUUGGAAACGAUAGCUAAUACCGGAUAACAGCAUUAACUGCAUGGUUGAUGUUUAAAAGUUGGUUUUGCUAACACUAUGAGAUGGCUUUGCGGUGCAUUAGCUAGUUGGUGGGGUAAAGGCCUACCAAGGCGACGAUGCAUAGCCGACCUGAGAGGGUGAUCGGCCACACUGGGACUGAGACAAGGCCCAGACUCCUACGGGAGGCAGCAGUAGGGAAUCUUCCGCAAUGGGCGAAAGCCUGACGGAGCAACGCCGCGUGAGUGAAGAAGGAUUUCGGUUCGUAAAGCUCUGUUGUUAGGGAAGAAUGAUUGUGUAGUAACUAUACACAGUAGAGACGGUACCUAACCAGAAAGCCACGGCUAACUACGUG
RNAcentral lists this ribosomal RNA (499 nucleotides) under uncultured bacterium. RNAcentral describes it as "partial 16S ribosomal RNA". It matches the Rfam family "Bacterial small subunit ribosomal RNA", at positions 28 to 507 of the family's 1533-position model. The record is from RNAcentral.